Molecule: long non-coding RNA, 218 nt
Organism: Penaeus monodon (black tiger shrimp)
Lineage: Eukaryota; Metazoa; Arthropoda; Malacostraca; Decapoda; Penaeidae
Exons: 3
Source: RefSeq, a predicted model, not a curated record
CCUCUCCCUCUCCCUCUCCUCCCUACCAAUGCCCUACCACUUCCCUCCCUCCCUCCCUACCUAAUCCAUAGGAUACGCAAAAUCAUAAAAAAGAAAAAAAAAACGAAAAAAUCGGCACACGAUCAAGAAAUUAGUGAAUUUGCGAAUCGUUAAUGGCACGCGCGGGGAAAAUGGCGGCUAUAUUUCCUCUGCUACGAUCGCGGUCAUCAUUGGCGCUG